Molecule: ribosomal RNA, 113 nt
Filed under: uncultured eukaryote
Lineage: Eukaryota
Description: partial small subunit ribosomal RNA
Rfam family: Eukaryotic small subunit ribosomal RNA
Source: RNAcentral
GUCGCUACUACCGAUUGGGAAAAUUUCAGAAUGCUUAGGACCGGGACUAGUUCGGCUUCACGGCCUUACUUGUACUGGUAAUAAGUAUAAUGAUAUUUUCCUAGAGGAAGUAA